GAACGAUGAUGAACUGUGUCUGCGCGGGUUGAAGCCAGAGGAAACUCUGGUGGAGGAUUGCAGCGGUUCUGACAUGCAAAUCGAUUGUUAGCCGUGAGUAUAGGGGCGAAAGAUCAAUCGAGCCAUCUAGUUGCU
RNAcentral lists this non-coding RNA (135 nucleotides) under Opisthorchis viverrini. RNAcentral's name for it is "Eukaryotic large subunit ribosomal RNA". It matches the Rfam family "Eukaryotic large subunit ribosomal RNA", at positions 818 to 952 of the family's 3401-position model. The record is from Rfam by way of RNAcentral. Lineage: Eukaryota; Metazoa; Platyhelminthes; Trematoda; Opisthorchiida; Opisthorchiidae.